Hydractinia symbiolongicarpus is the source of this 960-nucleotide long non-coding RNA. RefSeq lists it as uncharacterized. The transcript has 2 exons. The record is from RefSeq and is a predicted model, not a curated record. Lineage: Eukaryota; Metazoa; Cnidaria; Hydrozoa; Anthoathecata; Hydractiniidae.
GAUUUGUGUGUAAGGCCUUUAUUAUGCUGCAAGAGGCCAUAUUACAGCCUUUAAAGGCCUGUACCCAUAGUUCACGGUGUUAUAAAGUCUUGGCGCAAUGGAAAACAACUUGGGACGUCGUAGUCCAUUGAGAGUGGAAGGAUUAGACCAAUGGUAACCUGUGCAGGCACGUGGAACAACGCGAUUUGUGUGUACGACCAUUAUUAGGCUGCAAAAUGCCAUAGUACAGCCUUUAGAGGCCUGUACACGUAGUUGACGGUGUUAUAAGGUUAUAGCGCAAUGGAAAACAACUUGGGACGUCGUAAUCCAUUGAGAGUGGAAUAAUUAGACCAAUGGUAACCUUUGUAGGCACGUGGAACAACGCGAUUUGUGUCUACGACCUUUAUUAGGCCGCAAAAGGCCAUAUUACAGCCUUUAAAGGCCUGUACACGUAGUUGACGGUGUUAUAAAGCUGUGACGCAAUGGAAAGCGACUUGGGACGUCCUAGUCAAUUGAGAGUGGAAGGAUUAGACCAAUGGUAACUUGCGCAGGCACGUGCGCCACGUGAUAUACGUGUAAGGCCUUUAUUAGGCUGCAAGAGGCCAUAUUACAGCCUUUGGAGGCCUGCACCCGUAGGUGACGGUGUUAUAACGCCAUGGCGCAAUGGAAAACCACUUGGGACGUCAUAGUCCAAUGAGAGUGGAAGGAUUAGACCGAUCGUAACUCGCCCAGGCACGUGGAACAACGCGAUUUGUGUGUACGACCUUUAUUAAGCUGCAAAAUGCCAUAGUACAGCCUUUUAGAGGCCUGUACGCGUAGUUGACGGUGUUAUAAAGUCAUGGCGCAAUGGAAAACAACAUGGGACGUCGUAGUCCAUUGAGAGUGGAGUAAUUAGACCAGCGGUAAUCUGCGCAGGCACGUGCAACCAUGUGAUAUACGUGAAAGGCCUUUAUUAUGCUGCAAGAGGCCAUAUUACAGCUU